RNAcentral lists this small RNA (190 nucleotides) under Arabidopsis thaliana (thale cress). RNAcentral describes it as "ATSL307180". Lineage: Eukaryota; Viridiplantae; Streptophyta; Magnoliopsida; Brassicales; Brassicaceae. The record is from RNAcentral.
AUAUUUGGGUAAAGAGUAGUAACCAAUGUAUUUUUGGGUAAUCGGAUAUUUCGAUUAGAUUUAGUAUAUAUGGUACUCUUUCCGUUUCACAAUAUAAGUUGUUUUAGCUAAAAGCACGCAGAUUAAGAAUAUUUAUUUUUAAAAAGUUUAACCAAUCAUAAAAGACACUGCAUAAUAGAAAUAAUUAUAA